AAAGCGGGGGCAACCUCGUGAGUAAAGUGGCGUACGGGUGAGUAACACGUGGGUAAUCUACCUCUUGGUGGGGAAUAACGCUGGGAAACCGGCGCUAAUACCGCAUAAGCUCGGGAGAGGAAAGCAGCAAUGCGCCGAGAGAGGAACCCGCGGCCGAUUAGCUAGUUGGUGAGGUAACGGCCCACCAAGGCUAAGAUCGGUAGCCGGCCUGAGAGGGCACACGGCCACACUGGCACUGAAACACGGGCCAGACUCCUACGGGAGGCAGCAGUGGGGAAUCUUGCACAAUGGGGGCAACCCUGAUGCAGCGACGCCGCGUGAGCGAUGAAGCCCUUCGGGGUGUAAAGCUCUUUCGGCAGGGAAGAAUCAUGACGGUACCUGCAGAAGCAGCUGCGGCUAACUACGUGCCAGCAGCCGCGGUAAUACGUAGGCAGCGAGCGUUGUUCGGAGUUACUGGGCGUAAAGGGUGUGUAGGCGGUCCUCUAAGUUUGGUGUGAAAUCUCCCGGCUCAACCGGGAGGGUGCGCCGAAAACUGGGGGACUAGAGUGCGGGAUGGGAAAGUGGAAUUCCUGGUGUAGCGGUGAAAUGCGUAGAUAUCAGGAGGAACACCGGUGGUUGUAGACGGCUUUCUGGACCGUAACUGACGCUGAGACACGAAAGCGUGGGUAGCAAACAGGAUUAGAUACCCUGGUAGUCCACGCCCUAAACGAUGCAUAUUUGGUGUAGGUCAUUCAGUUGAUCUGUGCCGGAGCUAACGCGUUAAAUAUGCCGCCUGGGGAGUACAGUCGCAAGGCUGAAACUC
This 802-nucleotide ribosomal RNA is filed under the name uncultured Bacillota bacterium. RNAcentral's name for it is "bacterial SSU rRNA". It matches the Rfam family "Bacterial small subunit ribosomal RNA", at positions 70 to 902 of the family's 1533-position model. The record is from RNAcentral. Lineage: Bacteria; Bacillati; Bacillota.